RNAcentral lists this ribosomal RNA (432 nucleotides) under uncultured bacterium. RNAcentral's name for it is "partial 16S ribosomal RNA". It matches the Rfam family "Bacterial small subunit ribosomal RNA", at positions 29 to 506 of the family's 1533-position model. The record is from RNAcentral.
AACGAACGCUGGCGGCAUGCCUAACACAUGCAAGUCGAACGAGACCUUCGGGUCUAGUGGCGCACGGGUGCGUAACGCGUGGGAAUCUGCCCUUGGGUUCGGUAUAACAGUUGGAAACGACUGCUAAUACCGGAUGAUGACGUAAGUCCAAAGAUUUAUCGCCCAAGGAUGAGCCCGCGUAGGAUUAGCUAGUUGGUGAGGUAAAGGCUCACCAAGGCGACGAUCCUUAGCUGGUCUGAGAGGAUGAUCAGCCACACUGGGACUGAGACACGGCCCAGACUCCUACGGGAGGCAGCAGUGGGGAAUAUUGGACAAUGGGCGAAAGCCUGAUCCAGCAAUGCCGCGUGAGUGAUGAAGGCCUUAGGGUUGUAAAGCUCUUUUACCCGGGAUGAUAAUGACAGUACCGGGAGAAUAAGCUCCGGCUAACUCCGU